Molecule: ribosomal RNA, 444 nt
Filed under: uncultured bacterium
Lineage: Bacteria
Description: partial 16S ribosomal RNA
Rfam family: Bacterial small subunit ribosomal RNA
Source: RNAcentral
CUACGGGGGGCUCCAGUGGGGAAUAUUGCACAAUGGGCGCAAGCCUGAUGCAGCAACGCCGCGUGAGGGACGACGGCCUUCGGGUUGUAAACCUCUUUUAGCAGGGAAGAAGCGAAAGUGACGGUACCUGCAGAAAAAGCACCGGCUAACUACGUGCCAGCAGCCGUGGUAAUACGUAGGGUGCAAGCGUUGUCCGGAAUUAUUGGGCGUAAAGAGCUCGUAGGCGGUUUGUCGCGUCUGCUGUGAAAAUCCGAGGCUCAACCUCGGACCUGCAGUGGGUACGGGCAAACUAGAGUGCGGUAGGGGAGAUUGGAAUUCCUGGUGUAGCGGUGGAAUGCGCAGAUAUCAGGAGGAACACCAAUGGCGAAGGCAGAUCUCUGGGCCGUAACUGACGCUGAGGAGCGAAAGCGUGGGGAGCGAACAGGAUUAGAUACCCGAGUAGUC